Molecule: ribosomal RNA, 499 nt
Filed under: uncultured bacterium
Lineage: Bacteria
Description: partial 16S ribosomal RNA
Rfam family: Bacterial small subunit ribosomal RNA
Source: RNAcentral
GACGAACGCUGGCGGCGUGCCUAAUACAUGCGAGUCGAGCGAAGUUUUUCUGGUGCUUGCACUAGAAAAACUUAGCGGCGAACGGGUGAGUAACACGUAAAGAACCUGCCUCAUAGACUGGGACAACUAUUGGAAACGAUAGCUAAUACCGGAUAACAGUAUUUCUCGCAUGAGAGAUAUUUAAAAGUUGGUUAUGCUAACACUAUGAGAUGGCUUUGCGGUACAUUAGCUAGUUGGUGGGGUAAAGGCCCACCAAGGCGACGAUGCAUAGCCGACCUGAGAGGGUGAUCGGCCACACUGGGACUGAGACACGGCCCAGACUCCUACGGGAGGCAGCAGUAGGGAAUCUUCCGCAAUGGGCGAAAGCCUGACGGAGCAACGCCGCGUGAGUGAAGAAGGAUUUCGGUUCGUAAAGCUCUGUUGUUAGGGAAGAAUGGAUAUGUAGUAACUAUACAUGUAAGAGACGGUACCUAACCAGAAAGCCACGGCUAACUACGUG